UUUCCGUAGGUGAACCUGCGGAAGGAUCAUUAUCGAGUUUUGACUGGGUUGUAGCUGGCCUUCCGAGGCAUGUGCACGCCCUGCUCAUCCACUCUACACCUAUGCACUUACUGUGGGUAUCAGAUCGUGAAGCGUGCUCUUUUACCGGAGCUUGUGAAGCGUGUCCGUGCCUGCGUUUAUCACAAACACUAUAAAGUAUCAGAAUGUGUAUUACGAUGUAACGCAUCUAUAUACAACUUUCAGCAACGGAUCUCUUGGCUCUC
This 263-nucleotide unclassified non-coding RNA is filed under the name plant metagenome. Its description in RNAcentral is "partial contains small subunit ribosomal RNA, internal transcribed spacer 1, and 5.8S ribosomal RNA". The record is from RNAcentral.